AAGCCUUGAAGAAUUUAUUGUUCCAUUAAACAGGAAACCUUCCUUCUUUGAGUGAAGUUUGGAUGAACAGAUGGCAUUUCACUAGUUGGCUACUUCUAGUGUGGAUUUUCCUUCACUAUUCUUUUUUUGUCCCUCAUGGUGUGCUGCAUCAUGGUGUGUCCCUCAUGAUGUGCUGCCUUUUAAUGUCUUUGCAUUUCUUGUGUUACCUUUGUUGUUACUGACAUGCUAAUGUUUUGGACGCUGAAGGUGAUAUUUAAAUAAGGUUGCAGGCAAGCCAUCUGCAUAUACUUAAGAACUUGGGUUCCCGUAAGUUUCCAUAGUAUUUUGGAAAAGCUGCUGGAAUUUAUUUUGAGAGAGCAGAACAAGAAAUUUAAUGUAAUUUCUGUGUACUGAAUUUUAUCAAUGGAUAGACUGCCGAAGUGCUAGUAGCAGAAAAGAAAAGAACAUAAAUAGGCAAACCUACUUUGAUUUCAAUCUGAUUCUGUUCUGCUCUUUCAUAGAAUAAUAGAACCAUCAAGGUUGGAAGAGAGCUUUAAGAUCAACAAGUCCAAUUGUCAACCCAGCACCACCACUGUAACCCCUAAAUCACUAAACCAUAUCACCUAGAGCAAGAUCCAGAUGCUUCCUAAACACCUCUGGGGUUGGUGACUCCACCACCUCCCAGGGCAACAUAACAGUGAAAUUUUUUUUGUAAUAUCCAAUCUGAAUCUUCCCCCUCUCAGUUUAAUGCCAUUUCCCCUUGUCCUCUCACUGCAGACACAGUAGAAGAGACCAGCCCCCAUCUCACCACAACCUCCUUUCAGGAAGUGUAGAGAGCAAUGAGGUCCUCCAUGAGCCUCCUCAACACUUAAAAAUCCCAGCUCCCUCAGCCACUCCUCAUAAGAUAUAUUUUCUAGACCUUUCCUUCGUCUAAGUGGGCCACUUUUUCACAGAAGAAGAUCAGCUUGGUCAAGUAAGACCUGCCUUUGUAAAUCACAAUGACUGGGCUUUGUCCCACAGUUGUUCUGCCUGUGCUGUGGGAUGGUACUCAGGAUGAUCUCUUCCAUAACCUUGCCUGGAACAGAGGUCAGGUGGCAGGUCUGUAGUUCCCCUGAUCAUCUUUCCAACUCUUCUUCUUGUUGAUGGGCAUUACAUUUGCUAAUUACCAGAAAACUGGAACUUCUCCAGUUAAGCAGGACUGUUGGUAGGUAAUAGAGUGUGGUUUGGCAAGUUCCUUCAUGAGUUCUGUCAUUACUCCAUGGUGGAUUCCAUCAGGGCCCAUAGCAUUCCAGCCUGAAUGUGCAUAUGUGCAUGCCAGCUUCCCUUCUAUGCAUGCCAGUGAUGUUCAGUCCUCCCUAGGGUGCUCUGCUCACUCAAUGUGUAGCUCCAACAGCAGAGGCUUUUCUGUCACGGUCUCACCCUGAAAUGAGGUAAAUUAUUAGUCAUUGGAAGAAAUUUGAAAAACUGAGCAGGUAGGAAAAGAUGUUAAGAAAAGCCUUUGGUUUAAGCCUGAAAGUGUAUGCUGAAGUUGGUAAAACAAGGUGAUUGAAGAGUUCAGGUUGGUGGUCCAGAACAGUAUCAUGUAAGUGUGGCUUUUUACUUACAACGUCCUCUGUGUGAGAUACUCCUGCGUUUUCACAUGCAUAAGUACACCUUCAGGGAGAGCUAGAGGAUAUUUGGGAAGUGAGUGCUGCAGAAAACAAACUGGGAUCACAUUAAUGGGCCUGACAAUAGCUGCAGCCCAUGAGUGCAUCGCUGGAUGCAUAGAUCUUGUGUUUGGAUAAAUACAGAGACUUUUUUUCUCCAUAGCACUGUCUGGAGUCAAGAACUCUUCUGCAGAUCUUCAAAUAAAAAUGAUAGGUAAUUCAGAUAGUCAGGGUGUUCAGAACCACACAAAUCUCAGGGAAGAGAAGAAAGUUUUCUUUCUAAAGGCAUGUUGCUCAGUCUACAAACUAUGAAGGUACCUGAACAGAAGAGAUGAACUUGCUUGGCUGAGAACACUGACUGACAAGAUAGGCCUGUUUAACUCCUUCUUGUAAUUGUUUUUAAAUACACUGUAUAAACCAAUAAAUUUGUAGCCAAAGGGCAAGAACUUUAACUCUUUUUAUCACACAGAAAGCUGCAAAAGCAUCACACCCUUCACUAUCAGGAAGAAAAAAAGAACAGGCAACAAGGAGGCAAUCCUGGUGCAGGUCCCACAGCCCUGCCAGGUACAGGGCCUGGUAGCACACCCUACCAAAAAGAGUUCUAGUGUCAGAAAUGGCACUACUUCACAACAAAACUGCUCCUGCAAAAGUCACUUGAGGAGUGAGAAAGGUCUUGAAUAGAAGGCACUGGGUGUGAAAGGUAAAACCUGUGAAUUUAUGCAAAAAACAUGGCAACAGAGUUCCAUGCUCAAUAGAAGGGUAUCAUGUG
This 2394-nucleotide long non-coding RNA is filed under the name Taeniopygia guttata (zebra finch). RNAcentral describes it as "lncRNA (ENSTGUG00000021183.1)". Lineage: Eukaryota; Metazoa; Chordata; Aves; Passeriformes; Estrildidae. The record is from RNAcentral.